CCAGACUCCUACGGGGGGCAGCAGUGGGGGAUAUUGCACAAUGGGGGGAACCCUGAUGCAGCGACGCCGCGUGGGUGAAGGAGCGUUUCGGCGCGUAAAGCCCUAUCGGCAGGGAAGAAGGAGGACGGUACCUGACUAAGAAGCCCCGGCUAACUACGUGCCAGCAGCCGCGGUAAUACGUAGGGAGCAAGCGUUGUCCGGAAUUACUGGGUGUAAAGGGAGCGUAGGCGGGAUAGUAAGUUGAUUGUUAAAACUAUCGGCUCAACUGGUAGAUGCGAUCAAAACUGCAAUUCUUGAGUGAAGUAGAGGCAGGCGGAAUUCCUAGUGUAGCGGUGAAAUGCGUAGAUAUUAGGAGGAACACCAGUGGCGAAGGCGGCCUGCUGGGCUUUAACUGACGCUGAGGCUCGAAAGUGUGGGUGGCAAACAGGAUUAGAUACCCUUGUA
Molecule: ribosomal RNA, 444 nt
Filed under: uncultured bacterium
Lineage: Bacteria
Description: partial 16S ribosomal RNA
Rfam family: Bacterial small subunit ribosomal RNA
Source: RNAcentral